AAGUUAAGAUGGUGGAAAGCUUACCUGAAAUGUCGGGAUUUGAGGAAGAGGAAAUGCAAUCGUUUUUCCGAUGUUUGCUUCCAGGCAUGGCAAUAUGAUAAUAAUUAAUGUGAUGUUUAGUGAAGUAGUGGAGAUCCUCUUCGGAAUACUCUUCUUGUCUUAAUGAUAUAAUGGUACGGAUGUGUAAGGAUUCCAGGAAAUUGAAAUUAGAAGCACGUGGACAUGCAGAACGAUAAAUAAUUCCAGGAUAAACGACCCCAAAAUUAUCUGGUACAAGCGGUGAAUUGGAGAAUGUCGAGGCAUCGUUGGAAGUGUCAACUACCUUGAUACCAUCUUUAUGGGCAUUCAACUCUAAGCAACAAACUGGUUUUGCCUGUUCUUCCGAAUUCACAGAAUGACAAUCGUUUAAACAACUGUCAUGACUCGACACCUCGGGUAUAGACAUAGAAAUUUGGUCCCUAUCCGAAGUAAUUGAUAUCAACUUCUUUUCAAGUUGGAAUGGAAAAACAAUGGCCAUCAAUCAACUACCCUCCCAAGCACAUUCGAAAAAUAAAGAAACCACUUAAAAUGUUUCUCUAAUUAUGAACGAUUGAUGGUGCCACAACCUCAAUUUGACUACUUAAGAAACUUCUAAACGAUAGCGGUACCAGGACGACAAGCGUUAAGACCUGAACAGUAAAUUGGAAAUAAAGUACUAUACAAAAAUACUGAUUUGGCAAAUUUUGCCAAAUGUAUUACUUUUCUGAGGAUAUUGUAGAUUCUUGGUGAGGUAAGGUAUUUAGCAAAUUAACCGGAGCCGAUGAAGAUGCACAAGUAUACGGAAAUUUACGGCAUAUUUAUGUAAGCUAGAGAAGAGAGGGACGGUACACAGAAGCCAGAAAUCUUUCACUGAAUACUCUUAUAAAAUGCAUUUUCACCUUCUUUUAUUUGCGCGAG
This is a non-coding RNA of Schizosaccharomyces pombe (fission yeast), 936 nucleotides long. NCBI's taxonomy places the organism in Eukaryota, Fungi, Ascomycota, Schizosaccharomycetes, Schizosaccharomycetales, Schizosaccharomycetaceae. The record is from the annotation of a GenBank genome assembly.